RNAcentral lists this long non-coding RNA (1091 nucleotides) under Numida meleagris (helmeted guineafowl). RNAcentral's name for it is "lncRNA (ENSNMEG00000018262.1)". The record is from RNAcentral. Lineage: Eukaryota; Metazoa; Chordata; Aves; Galliformes; Numididae.
CAGUGAUCUUCGUAUGAGCUCUUUCAAGAGUUUGCGUGGGCUAUCAGUUUGUGUUUCAGAAAAGCUGCUUAACGAAAUGGCCCUUGGCUCAAUAAUGGAAGACGGAGAAGCCACUCACUGAGUUAGCAGCUCACAUGGUCUGUGCAGCAGUGGGUGCUGUGGCCAAAUUGGACAGUCACGUUCCCAAACUUGGGAAUUGGGGUUUUGGAGUGGAAGCCCCCAGUCUGUUGCCUGAAGGAGUAAGCAAUCAGAUGCAGCAGCUCCUUGCACUCAGUCAGCAUGGGCUGAGACUUCUCACCUUUGGAGACACCUGUCUGGAGAGCUGCACCACCACCCUCAUCCUGCACCUUCCCAGUGUUACUUCCAGGUACCAUGCUGCUGUUCAGGCUGAGCAUGUGUCUGCAUCAAAACCUGUAGUCCAUGGAGAGAAUCUGCUCUGGUCUUAUUGGAGCCCUGCUGUGGUCAGCUCUGUGACAAACUUUGCAGAAUCACCAAGGUUGGAGAAGACUUCCAAGAUCAUCCAGUCCCACUGUCCACUUAUCACUAAUAUUUCCCACUAAACCAUGUCUCUCAAUACAACAUCUAAACGUUUCUUGAAUGCCUCCAGGGAUGGUGACUCCACCACCUCCCUGGGCAGCCCAUUCCAGUGCCUGAUCACUCUCUUGGAGAAAUUUUUCCUAAUGUCCAACUUGAAUCUCCCCUGGCACAACUUGAGGCCAUUCCCCUUGUCCUAUCUCUAGUUACAUGGGAGCAGAGGCUAACCCCCAUCUCACCACAGCCUCCUUUCAGGUAGUUGUAAAGAAUGAUAUAGUCUUUCCCGAGCCUUCUCUUCUCCAGACUGAAAAACCGCAGCUCCCUCAGCCACUUUGCCCUGAGCCUGUAGCAUUGCCUGUUUUUUUUUUUGUGGCCAAAGCUCAGGACCUGGCACUUGAUGUUGUUGAACUUCAGCCCAUCCAGAUCCUUAUGUAGGGCCUUCCUACCCUCAGGCAGAUUGAAACUUCUCCCUAACUUGCUAUCAUCUGCAAACUUAAUGAGGGUGCACUCAAUGUGCUCAUCCAGGUAAUCAAUAAAGAUAUUAAAUCAUAGAAUCA